GUGGUUAUAGCUCAGUAGUAGAGCGCUUGCCUGGCAUGCAUGAGGCCCUGAGUUCAAUCCUCAGCACCACA
Molecule: transfer RNA, 71 nt
Filed under: Ictidomys tridecemlineatus (thirteen-lined ground squirrel)
Lineage: Eukaryota; Metazoa; Chordata; Mammalia; Rodentia; Sciuridae
Description: Spermophilus tridecemlineatus (thirteen-lined ground squirrel) tRNA
Rfam family: tRNA
About the family: Transfer RNA (tRNA) molecules are approximately 80 nucleotides in length. Their secondary structure includes four short double-helical elements and three loops (D, anti-codon, and T loops). Further hydrogen bonds mediate the characteristic L-shaped molecular structure. tRNAs have two regions of fundamental functional importance: the anti-codon, which is responsible for specific mRNA codon recognition, and the 3' end, to which the tRNAs corresponding amino acid is attached (by aminoacyl-tRNA synthetases). tRNAs cope with the degeneracy of the genetic code in two manners: having more than one tRNA (with a specific anti-codon) for a particular amino acid; and 'wobble' base-pairing, i.e. permitting non-standard base-pairing at the 3rd anti-codon position.
Source: Rfam by way of RNAcentral